Molecule: non-coding RNA, 354 nt
Organism: Suncus etruscus (white-toothed pygmy shrew)
Lineage: Eukaryota; Metazoa; Chordata; Mammalia; Eulipotyphla; Soricidae
Source: the annotation of a RefSeq genome assembly
GUGGACAUGAGGGUCCCGGUGCAGCUCCUCAGCUUCCUGUUGUUCUGGCUCUCAGGUGCCAGGGGUGAUAUCCAGCUGACCCAGUCUCCAUCCAUGUCUGCAUCUCUGGGAGAAAAAGUCACCAUCACCUGCAAGGCCAGUGAGAAUAUUUACGGAAAUUUACACUGGUAUCAGCAGAAACCAGGGGAAGCUCCUAGGCUCCUGAUAUAUGGUGCAUUAAACUUGCAACCUGGGGUCCCUUCCAGAUUCAGUGGCAGUGGAUCUGGCACAGAUUACAUUCUCACCAUCAGCAGCCUAAAGUCUGAAGAUGCUGCCACUUAUUACUGUCAACAGAGUUAUAGUGGCCCACAGUGA